Non-coding RNA from Malus domestica (apple), 534 nucleotides. NCBI's taxonomy places the organism in Eukaryota, Viridiplantae, Streptophyta, Magnoliopsida, Rosales, Rosaceae. The record is from RefSeq and is a predicted model, not a curated record.
AAGAGGAGCGAGGAGUUCUAAAAGAUUUUGGAGGUUUCGAAGGAGGAAAGGGACCGGGUUCAGCGAAUGCAGGUUGUUGAUCGAGCUGCGGCCGCGAUCGCGGCUGCUCGCGCCAUUUUGGAGGACAAGAAUAAUAAGUUGAGGACUGAGGCGGGGGAUCGCGGAGGUUCCGGUGGUGGGAGUGGCGGGGGUGGUGACGGAACAAUUGGGGCUCGUCAAGAAGGGGCUGGGAAUGUGCAAAUGUGAAUGAGUGAAUCUACUAGGGCUAGGACAGAAUUUGAAUCUGUGCAAAUGUGAAUGAGUGAAGCAGGAGUUUGGUUUUAUAUAGAUCGAGCAUACAUUCUUUGAGGAGCAAGACUGAGCUAACUAUUAUGUGGAUUUCAUUUUUAGAUGUUGGAGGACGAUGUAAUAUUGUUAUUUUGGAUGUAUUGUUAAAACUUAAUUUAUGAACUUGGAUAUUAGACUUUGUAUUUAGAUUAGAUGUGAAUAAUGGUGAAUUUGUGCAAAAUCUGCAUAAAUGCAGUGUCACUGUGA